GAACAGAUUCAUCAUUUUGUUGCUGAAAACUUGUAAUCUUCCCACGGAGAGCAUUGGUCUUGCCCAUGGGAAAGAACUUUGCCAGGAAGUUUGUUGAGCAGAGUGCCCACGUAGUAUUCUUCUCCUCUGUAGCGUAGAACCACUGCUUCGCUCUUCCUAAUAGUGAGAAUGGGAAGAGGCGAAGUAGUAUAGCAUCUUUGGAAACUCCUGAUAUGGUGAAUGUGUUGC
This 228-nucleotide long non-coding RNA is filed under the name Sorghum bicolor (sorghum). RNAcentral's name for it is "long non-coding RNA (SBIC_LNC006706)". The record is from RNAcentral. Lineage: Eukaryota; Viridiplantae; Streptophyta; Magnoliopsida; Poales; Poaceae.